Fukomys damarensis (Damara mole-rat) is the source of this 1166-nucleotide long non-coding RNA. RefSeq lists it as uncharacterized. NCBI's taxonomy places the organism in Eukaryota, Metazoa, Chordata, Mammalia, Rodentia, Bathyergidae. The transcript has 7 exons. The record is from RefSeq and is a predicted model, not a curated record.
GAGACAGGGGUCUUCAGCUCAUUCCGGGCAGCAUGGAUAACUGCAGCACACUGCUGCGUAGAUCCAUACGCAGGCAUCCACAGUGGGGAUGCUGUUGGGGAUACCGGAGAAACAAAGGAAACCCAGAAAUCUCGUACACCGCUGUUACCUUUGAGGAAGAGGCUGUCAAACGGGAGCUCACGAAUUAAUAACGGGAAAAACUUCAAAGAUUUUACAGCAUUUCAAAUUGAAUGGGGCUAAUCGUAUCUGUAAAACACCUUACAAUAAAAUUCAGACAAAUGAACUCUUUCACGUUGGACUAAAAAUAAGGCCAUGAUAAUGAUCGCCAUGUCACAGACAACCAUGGUUUCUACCAGCUCCUGUGAGACAGCGGGCAAAUACCUGUGACACCUAACUCAACUGUAUAGUAAACAUUAACUGACCCAUCAGAACCAGGAAGAUCUUUGGAGACCAUUGCCCACCUCAUUCGCUUCCCAGAUGAAUUCAGAGGACGGGAGAGAAGGAACUUGCCUGAAGACAGACCCACAGUUAACAUAUUUGCAUUAUUUGAUAUAUCCAGGGCUCUGACACCAGAUGCCCGCUCCCUGCUGUUUCUCGAGAUGUCUUCUGUGCUCCCAAACUCAGAAACUUACUUUUCUGUAUUGGGAAAAAUGUGUUAAACUUGUUGGCACGCCUAAGUGAAGGUCAUUCUGCUGUUCCAUUUCUGCCUUACUGCCAGUAGACCAUGGACCGAAACCUCUGAAAAUUUUCUUAGAUCUCUGGACCUCUGGGAAAUAAAGGAAGCCCUUUGGCAGACUCAGGUGUUCACGGUUCCUGCAUCUGCUUCAAAGCUUCUUUCCAGAGGAAUGAUGGCGUCAUGCUUCUGUCCGGUCUUCAGCCUUGAGAUCCACCUUCUGCAGCUCAAGACAAGCAGCCCUUUAAGAACAUGGAAAGAGUCUUAUUCAACUCUGUUGCCCACCACGCCUAUGACUUCUGGAGGAAUAGAAUAACUGUGGUCAUCCAGACUCAAGAACAAGAACACUGUGUAUAAUGCCUUUGAAGAUGUGAGAGUCCUAUUCUUGAUCAAGGACAGAAAACUUUCCGUCAAGGGAAUAUUUCAGAGUUCAUAAGCUACCCAGGGUCUGUGUAGGAAAUGGAUCUACUCUCCUGCUGUGACAUAAAAGCAG